This 237-nucleotide unclassified non-coding RNA is filed under the name fungal sp. Its description in RNAcentral is "partial internal transcribed spacer region". The stretch from base 1 to 46 matches the Rfam family "Eukaryotic small subunit ribosomal RNA", at positions 1786 to 1831 of the family's 1831-position model. Lineage: Eukaryota; Fungi. The record is from RNAcentral.
AAGUCGUAACAAGGUUUCCGUAGGUGAACCUGCGGAAGGAUCAUUAUUGAAUUCUCAAUAACGUAUGUGAACCUGCUGAACCUUGGCUCAUAAGUUUGUAGACGCUGUUGGGGUCAUACCGCGUUAAAACUGGCGGACUUUGAGCCGCCAGUCUAUUUUUAACCACCCUUUAAUCAUGAUUAUUACUGAACAUUUUAAAACUAAAGACAACUUUUAGCAACGGAUCUCUAGGCUCUC